Molecule: ribosomal RNA, 498 nt
Filed under: uncultured bacterium
Lineage: Bacteria
Description: partial 16S ribosomal RNA
Rfam family: Bacterial small subunit ribosomal RNA
Source: RNAcentral
AUUGAACGCUGGCGGCAUGCCUUACACAUGCAAGUCGAACGGUAACAGGUCUUCGGAUGCUGACGAGUGGCGAACGGGUGAGUAAUACAUCGGAACGUGCCUAGUAGUGGGGGAUAACUACUCGAAAGAGUGGCUAAUACCGCAUGAGAUCUACGGAUGAAAGCAGGGGAUCGCAAGACCUUGUGCUACUAGAGCGGCCGAUGGCAGAUUAGGUAGUUGGUGGGAUAACAGCUUACCAAGCCGACGAUCUGUAGCUGGUCUGAGAGGACGAUCCGCCACACUGGGAAUGAGACACGGCCCAGCCUCCUACGGGAGGCAGCAGUGGGGAAUUUUGGACAAUGGGCGAAAGCCUGAUCCAGCAAUGCCGCGUGCAGGAUGAAGGCCUUCGGGUUGUAAACUGCUUUUGUACGGAACGAAAAGCCCCGGGUUAAUACCCUGGGGUCAUGACGGUACCGUAAGAAUAAGCACCGGCUAACUACGUGCCAGCAGCCGCCGUAA